UAAGCAUGUAGGCUGAUUGUCCAGGCAAAUCCGGAUAAUCAAGGCUGAGGUGUGAUGACGAGGCACUACGGUGCUGAAGUAACAAAUGCCCUGCUUCCAGGAAAAGCCUCUAAGCAUCAGGUAACAUCAAAUCGUACCCCAAACCGACACAGGUGGUCAGGUAGAGAAUACCAAGGCGCUUGAGAGAACUCGGGUGAAGGAACUAGGCAAAAUGGUGCCGUAACUUCGGGAGAAGGCACGCUGGUGUGUAGGUGA
RNAcentral lists this ribosomal RNA (255 nucleotides) under Klebsiella pneumoniae. Its description in RNAcentral is "partial 23S ribosomal RNA". It matches the Rfam family "Bacterial large subunit ribosomal RNA", at positions 1513 to 1765 of the family's 2925-position model. Lineage: Bacteria; Pseudomonadati; Pseudomonadota; Gammaproteobacteria; Enterobacterales; Enterobacteriaceae. The record is from RNAcentral.